This 1927-nucleotide unclassified non-coding RNA is filed under the name uncultured fungus. RNAcentral describes it as "sequence contains 18S rRNA gene, ITS1, 5.8S rRNA gene, ITS2, 28S rRNA gene". The stretch from base 910 to 1927 matches the Rfam family "Eukaryotic large subunit ribosomal RNA", at positions 1 to 961 of the family's 3401-position model. The record is from RNAcentral. Lineage: Eukaryota; Fungi.
GGUUGGAUCAUUAAAAAGGGAUUUCCUUGGCUUCCUCCUAGGAGUUCUUUCUGGGUGGUUAAGACUUGGAGUUCUGAUCCACAUUUCUUGUGCACCUGUGAGAAAGCCAGAUCUGGCUUUAGCCAUUCAGGUGGGUCAAUCUUCCUUCGGGAGGGUUGGGUGGUCUGAAUGUGCCUUUGGAUCUUGGAUAGUUUGCGGAUUGAGUUGCCCUGGUGCCUCUCUCUCCCGCCGCCUUGGGCUGGGUUCUUGAAACAUAGAAUUACGGCUUGGGGAUGCCUUUUCCAGGUUUCGUCCUGUGGUAGGGCUAUCCGGACAACUAUAACUUUCCUGACUAUUAUUUUGUUUAUUUCCUUUUGAUGCGAAAGCAUUGAAAACAAAUACAACUUCAGACAACGGAUCUCUAGGCUCUGGUAUCGAUGAAGAACGCAGCGAAAUGCGAUACGUAAUGUGAAUUGCAGAAUACGUGAAUCAUCGAAUCUUUGAACGCACAUUGCACCUUCUGGUAUCCCGGAAGGUAUACCUGUUUUAGUAUCAAUAACACUCUCUCACGAACACUUUUUUUUUCGGAAAAGAGUGUGAGUGGGGACUUGAGGCUUCUACUUUUUUAGUGGGUAGUGCCUUUAAAAUCAAUUAGUGGUUCACUUGACUCUAAUUGGGGACUAGCGCAAACCUUGGUUUGGUUUCUGUACCAUGCAUUUUGUGUGUUAGUAUUUGAGCUCCCUGGGUCUUUGAUUAUAUUGGACUCUGUCCUUUAGUCAAACCGAACAGUUCUCUUACAGUGCAACACCAAAAUGCAUCAGAAAUUGCUUUUCUUCCAAGAGACUUUGAAUCUCCUAGUAAACCAAACCUAGCGUGCCUUUUAUUUUGAAGGGCAGGUGUAGGAUGCUUGGGGUAAUGCCCAAUCAAACUUGGUCUCAAAUCAGGUAGGACGACCCGCUGAACUUAAGCAUAUUAAUAAGCGGAGGAAAAGAAACUAACAAGGAUUCCCCUAGUAACGGCGAGUGAAGCGGGAAAAGCUCAAAUUUGAAAUCUCCCUGGUUCCCAGGGCGAAUUGUAGUUGAUAGAAACGUUUUCGGAGGUAUGCUGGUCAUAAGUCGCCUGGAAAGGUGCAUCAUAGAGGGUGAGAAUCCCGUCUGUGGUCCGGCAAUACUUCUAUGUGAUACGUUUUCUAAGAGUCGGGUUGUUUGGGAUUGCAGCCCUAAAUGGGUGGUAAAUACCAUCUAAAGCUAAAUACUGACCAGAGACCGAUAGCGAACAAGUACCGUGAGGGAAAGAUGAAAAGAACUUUGAAAAGAGAGUUAAACAGUACGUGAAAUUGUCUGAAGGGAAACGCUUGCGACCAGUCGUGCGUCUUGGAUUCAGCCUUCCGCAAGGGGGGUGCAAUUCGCUGGAUGCCCGUCAGCGUCAGUUUGAUCUUGAGUAAAAAGACUUGGGAAGGUAGCCUUCGGGUGUUAUAGCCCUUGUUUAUGCUCUUGACUGGACUGAGGUGCCGCGGUGUGGUUCUGGGUAGUCUGGUUCGCGCAACCCGCUGGUAAACUGCUUGCAGAUUGCCAGUUGUGGACGUGUGAUCCCAGCCUAUUCCACACACUUAGGAUGCUGACGAAAUGGUCCCAAACGACCCGUCUUGAAACACGGACCAAGGAGUCUAACAUGUAUGCGAGUAUAUGGGUGUCAAACCCAUGUGCGCAAUGAAAGUGAAACUGGUGUGAUCCCGCAAGGGUGCAACAUCGACCGGUCUGGAUUUUUUUGAUAGAUCUGAGUAAGAGCAUACCUGUUAGGACCCGAAAGAUGGUGAACUAUGCCUGAAUAGGGUGAAGCCAGAGGAAACUCUGGUGGAAGCUCGUAGCGAUUCUGACGUGCAAAUCGAUCGUCAAAUUUGGGUAUAGGGGCGAAAGACUAAUCGAACCAUCUAGUAGCUGGUUCCCUC